Molecule: unclassified non-coding RNA, 362 nt
Filed under: Hevea brasiliensis (rubber tree)
Lineage: Eukaryota; Viridiplantae; Streptophyta; Magnoliopsida; Malpighiales; Euphorbiaceae
Source: RNAcentral
GAACAAGUUAAUUUUACUAAACCCAUCCCUGAUGACCCUGUAGUUGGGAUUAUUGGUGGUGGAAUGUCUGGCCUUACUUGUGCUCUUUAUUUGGAGAAAAGAGGCAUUCGUUCAACCGUUUUCGACACGGGAAUACAUGGGUUGGGAGGAAGAAUGGGAACAAGAAUGAUUGAUCAUCAGCCUUUGAUAUUUGACCAUGCAGCUCAGUUCUUCACAGUGACAAACCCCAAGUUUGCUGAGCUAGUUGAUGACUGGUUGAAGAGAGGUCUGGUUCGUGAAUGGAAGGGUACAAUUGGUGAGCUUGAAGUUGGUGGGAAUUUUGUCCCAUUUCCUUCUUCACCUCCUAAAUAUAUAGGGGUCAA